AUGAUGACAAAAUUUUUUUGGAGAGCUAGCGCUGCGAUGUGCUUCCAGUAUACCAUCUUUCGGGACUGA
Schizosaccharomyces osmophilus is the source of this 69-nucleotide small nucleolar RNA. The record is from RefSeq and is a predicted model, not a curated record. Lineage: Eukaryota; Fungi; Ascomycota; Schizosaccharomycetes; Schizosaccharomycetales; Schizosaccharomycetaceae.